UCCCACCCCCCGCAGCGCUGCGGAGCCGGGGCUCGGCGGUGCCCCCGACCCCUCUCUCCUCGCCCUGAGGUACAGAAGCAUACCAGACCGGAUCUACGCUGGGAUUCCGCUUCCCUUAACAACAGCACCCUCCGAUCCGAGCUCCCUGUAGCCGAGAUGCCUUCAGCUAAGGCUGUACCCUGGGCCUCUCUCUGGGGGAGGCCAUAGUCCAGGUGGUCUGUUCACAGCAUAGCCAUCAUGAAAAGCAUUUUCCUAUAUAUACUUUCAGCUUUGAAAUACAGACAAAAUAGGUUAUGUUCUGUUUGCUGAACGAUUUCAGUAGCUCUACAAACAUAGUUACAAUUUAUUUGCUUGCCUUUCUGGGCAGGGUGAUAGGAUGGCAAACACGAACAUUAUCCACUUCCCAUCUAGAAAUACUUCCCACACAAACCACAGCACAUCUCAUGCUUUUGGUCAUCAUUUGGUCCCAAAGCCAUGCUGACAUUUGUGUGAGUAGUGUAUGAAAUGGUGUCAGAAAACUGACUUGCAGCUGGCUGGUCUGCAAAUUGUAAGCUUAUGGACUGCUGCCAUUUUAGAUACAGAAUGGCUGCCUUGCUAUAUUAAAUAUGUCUGCUUAAACAGAAAGCAGUGAGGUUGAGUGUUUUGUUACAUACAAGAACUUGCAAAUUAAUAUUUUGUUUUCAAACCAGGCCAAUAAUUUUAAGCUCUUAUUUCCCAGUGUAAUUUCUUUCCAGGAAAAAUGACACAGUGUUCAAUUAGUGUGAGCCACUGGUGCUUUGCUUGGAACUCUCCAAGUCUCAGGAUGUGAAGAAGAGUGUCCACGUACAAAUCAUUCACGUUGCUGUACUGCCCUUAAACAGGUGAAGAUCUCCUUACUGAAAUGAGAGCUCUAUAAAAAUACUGGGGUAAUAAAUGCAUACAGUUAUCUUGCAAAGAUAAAUGGGCAAUGCAAUCUCAUGGUCUUUGGCCAAAGUGCUUCUAAUGCGGAUGGUUGAAGAUAUUUUCAAUAGAAUAAUCUCAGCAGCGUUAAAUCCAGCAGUUUAGAAUGUGAGUGCCCUAUUUCAAUCUCUUGUUUUUUAUGUACAUGUAAUACGUUCUUUCAUUGAUACAAAGCCUUCACUUGUUAAAAAGUGAAGGGAUUAGAUUAUGUCUGCUGAGGAGAUUAUGAGUAAUUAAACUUUAUGUAGAUUCUUUCAUAAAAUAUCAACAUUACAGUGUUUGUACAUAUGUGAGGAAGCUUGGCAAUGUGGAACAGCCUCUUGGUCACCUUCAGUGGAUGUUGCCAAGGAUUAACAGGACCUCUGGGUAGAAGGAUUGCUGUGUCUUUGUUUCUUAUUUUUUCUUUUCUGUGUGUGUGUGACUACUUUUGCUAACUCUUGAUGGUUUACAUUAAUAAUUCAUUUUUACUGAAAAUGGAAUUUCAAAACAA
Tympanuchus pallidicinctus (lesser prairie-chicken) is the source of this 1429-nucleotide long non-coding RNA. RefSeq lists it as uncharacterized. NCBI's taxonomy places the organism in Eukaryota, Metazoa, Chordata, Aves, Galliformes, Phasianidae. The record is from RefSeq and is a predicted model, not a curated record. The transcript has 2 exons.